This 698-nucleotide long non-coding RNA is filed under the name Populus tremula. RNAcentral's name for it is "long non-coding RNA (PTRE_LNC002084)". Lineage: Eukaryota; Viridiplantae; Streptophyta; Magnoliopsida; Malpighiales; Salicaceae. The record is from RNAcentral.
AUAGUCCAAGAAGUGCAGGGAAGUCCAUUUAGAACCGCAGGAACAGUGCUCGGGAAGGCUGCUGGGGCAGAAAUCACUGGCGGCGCGUCUUCCCACGCGCCCCGCCACUGGCGGCGCGUGGGUGCACGCGCCACCGUGAGAAGGAGCUGGAAAACAGCUGGUCCAGACAGCUUCUUCUUCUCCUGUCUUCCUAAACCAUCGGUGAUCUGCAGAACAAGGAAAUAAACACACAGCAGUCGAUUUUAGUUUUUUUUCUUUGAUUUCAAAUCUGUUUUUGUUCCUUUUUUAGAUCUGCAUCGUUUUCGAUCUGCUCCUCUUUCUCUUCUUCUUCGUUGCAGAUCAGUCCGUGGGUUUCUUCUUCUUCUGGCCGACCUGCUGUGGAGUGAGGAGUGGUUGUCCGGUCGGUGGGGGAUCGCCUGCUGCUGUGUGGCUCGGUGGAAGCCGGUUCUGUGGAGCUGGGUCUGCUGGAUCUUUGGACGGCGCUACUGCGGAGACGCCGCUGGUUCGCCCAAAUGACGGGCGGCGGAGGCGGUGGAGAUCGUGGCCGAGAGAGAGAAGCCAGGAGGCGCCGGGCCUGUGAAGGAAGAAAUCUCUGGUGAACGGUGAGAGGAGAGCUGGCGUUGGGAGAAGUGGGGAGGAGAAGAAGAGCUGGGAUGGCUGCGUGGUCUGAAAAAAUCAGAACCAAGGGGAAAAAAAAA